UACGUAGGGUGCAAGCGUUGUCCGGAAUUAUUGGGCGUAAAGAGCUCGUAGGCGGUUUGUUGCGUCGGCUGUGAAAUCCCGAGGCUCAACCUCGGGUCUGCAGUCGAUACGAGCAAACUAGAGUGUUGCAGGGGAGACUGGAAUUCCUGGUGUAGCGGUGAAAUGCGCAGAUAUCAGGAGGAACACCGGUGGCGAAGGCGGAUCUCUGGGCCAUUACUGACGCUGAGGAGCGAAAGCCAGGGGAGCAAACGGG
This 253-nucleotide ribosomal RNA is filed under the name uncultured bacterium. Its description in RNAcentral is "partial 16S ribosomal RNA". It matches the Rfam family "Bacterial small subunit ribosomal RNA", at positions 524 to 776 of the family's 1533-position model. The record is from RNAcentral.